RNAcentral lists this transfer RNA (78 nucleotides) under Vibrio harveyi. Its description in RNAcentral is "tRNA-Arg". It matches the Rfam family "tRNA". Rfam says of the family: Transfer RNA (tRNA) molecules are approximately 80 nucleotides in length. The record is from RNAcentral. Lineage: Bacteria; Pseudomonadati; Pseudomonadota; Gammaproteobacteria; Vibrionales; Vibrionaceae.
GCGCCCGUAGCUCAGUUGGAUAGAGCGUUGGCCUCCGGAGCCCAAAGGUCGAAGGUUCGAAUCCUUUCGGGCGUGCCA